Molecule: transfer RNA, 73 nt
Filed under: Actinomycetes bacterium
Lineage: Bacteria; Bacillati; Actinomycetota; Actinomycetes
Description: Actinobacteria bacterium tRNA-Gln
Rfam family: tRNA
About the family: Transfer RNA (tRNA) molecules are approximately 80 nucleotides in length.
Source: RNAcentral
UGCCGGGUAGAUCAAUUGGCAGAUCGUUCGGCUCUGGACCGAAAAGUUGAAGGUUCGAGUCCUUCCCCGGCAG